AUCACCUGCGCAUCUUGUUAAAAUGCAGAUUCUGAUCCAGUGGGCCCGGGGUGGGGCCCGAGAUUCUGCAUUUCUUACAAACUCUCAGGUGAAGCAAG
Non-coding RNA from Myotis lucifugus (little brown bat), 98 nucleotides. The record is from Rfam. NCBI's taxonomy places the organism in Eukaryota, Metazoa, Chordata, Mammalia, Chiroptera, Vespertilionidae.